UACGUAGGGUGCGAGCGUUAAUCGGAAUUACUGGGCGUAAAGCGUGCGCAGGCGGUUCGUUAAGUCCGAUGUGAAAGCCCCGGGCUCAACCUGGGAACUGCAUUUGAAACUGGCGGGCUUGAGUGUGGCAGAGGGGGGUGGAAUUCCGCGUGUAGCAGUGAAAUGCGUAGAGAUGCGGAGGAACACCGAUGGCGAAGGCAGCCCCCUGGGCCAACACUGACGCUCAGGCACGAAAGCGUGGGGAGCAAACAGG
RNAcentral lists this ribosomal RNA (253 nucleotides) under uncultured bacterium. RNAcentral's name for it is "partial 16S ribosomal RNA". It matches the Rfam family "Bacterial small subunit ribosomal RNA", at positions 524 to 776 of the family's 1533-position model. The record is from RNAcentral.